UACGGAGGGUGCAAGCGUUAUCCGGAUUCACUGGGUUUAAAGGGUGCGUAGGUGGGUUGGUAAGUCAGUGGUGAAAUCUCCAGGCUUAACUUGGAAACUGCCAUUGAUACUAUCAGUCUUGAAUACCGUGGAGGUCAGCGGAAUAUGUCAUGUAGCGGUGAAAUGCUUAGAUAUGACAUAGAACACCAAUUGCGAAGGCAGCUGGCUACACGAAUAUUGACACUGAUGCACGAAAGCGUGGGGAUCAAACAGG
RNAcentral lists this ribosomal RNA (253 nucleotides) under uncultured bacterium. RNAcentral describes it as "partial 16S ribosomal RNA". It matches the Rfam family "Bacterial small subunit ribosomal RNA", at positions 524 to 776 of the family's 1533-position model. The record is from RNAcentral.